CCUACGGGAGGCAGCAGUCGAGAAUCAUUCACAAUGGGGGAAACCCUGAUGGUGCGACGCCGCGUGGGGGAAUGAAAGUCUUCGGAUUGUAAACCCCUGUCAUGUGGGAGCAAAUUAAAAAGAUAGUACCACAAGAGGAAGAGACGGCUAACUCUGUGCCAGCAGCCGCGGUAAUACAGAGGUCUCAAGCGUUGUUCGGAAUCACUGGGCGUAAAGCGUGCGUAGGCUGUUUCGUAAGUCGUGUGUGAAAGGCGCGGGCUCAACCCGCGGACGGCACAUGAUACUGCGAGACUAGAGUAAUGGAGGGGGAACCGGAAUUCUCGGUGUAGCAGUGAAAUGCGGAGAUAUCGAGAGGAACACUCGUGGCGAAGGCGGGUUCCUGGACAUUAACUGACGCUGAGGCACGAAGGCCAGGGGAGCGAAAGGGAUUAGAUACCCCUGUAGUC
This 446-nucleotide ribosomal RNA is filed under the name uncultured bacterium. RNAcentral's name for it is "partial 16S ribosomal RNA". It matches the Rfam family "Bacterial small subunit ribosomal RNA", at positions 338 to 795 of the family's 1533-position model. The record is from RNAcentral.